This 181-nucleotide ribosomal RNA is filed under the name Lysinibacillus sphaericus CBAM5. RNAcentral's name for it is "partial 16S ribosomal RNA". It matches the Rfam family "Bacterial small subunit ribosomal RNA", at positions 118 to 292 of the family's 1533-position model. Lineage: Bacteria; Bacillati; Bacillota; Bacilli; Caryophanales; Bacillaceae. The record is from RNAcentral.
UGGGCAACCUACCUUAUAGUUUGGGAUAACUCCGGGAAACCGGGGCUAAUACCGAAUAAUCUGUUUCACCUCAUGGUGAAAUGUUGAAAGACGGUUUCGGCUGUCGCUAUAGGAUGGGCCCGCGGCGCAUUAGCUAGUUGGUGAGGUAACGGCUCACCAAGGCGACGAUGCGUAGCCGACC